CCCGAUUAUUUAACUUUCAUGGGCCGGUCGGGGGCCUAAUACUGCAAGUCGAGCGGACAGAUGGGAGCUUGCUCCCUGAUGUUAGCGGCGGACGGGUGAGUAACACGUGGGUAACCUGCCUGUAAGACUGGGAUAACUCCGGGAAACCGGGGCUAAUACCGGAUGGUUGAUUGAACCGCAUGGUUCAAUUAUAAAAGGUGGCUUCGGCUACCACUUACAGAUGGACCCGCGGCGCAUUAGCUAGUUGGUGAGGUAACGGCUCACCAAGGCAACGAUGCGUAGCCGACCUGAGAGGGUGAUCGGCCACACUGGGACUGAGACACGGCCCAGACUCCUACGGGAGGCAGCAGUAGGGAAUCUUCCGCAAUGGACGAAAGUCUGACGGAGCAACGCCGCGUGAGUGAUGAAGGUUUUCGCAUCGUAAAACUCUCGUUGUUAAGGAAGAACAAGUUACCGUUCGAAUAGAGCGGUACCUUGAUCGGUACCUAACCAGAAAGCCACAGCUAACUACGUGCCAGCAGCCGCGGUAAUUACGUAAGUGGCCAAGCGUUGUCCAGAAAUAUUGGGCGGUAAAGGGCUCGCAGGCGGUUUCUUAAGUCUGAUGGGAAAGCCCCCGGCUCAACCCGGGGAGGGUUCAAUGGAAACUGGGGAACCUGACGGCAAAAGAAGAGAAGUGAGAAUCUCACGUGUAACGGGGAAAGGCGUAGAAGAGUGGAAGGACACCAUUGGCGAAGCGGACUUCUUCGGUCUGUUACUGACGGCGAAGAGCGAAAACGUUGGGAACCGACAGGAAUAGGUUCCCUUGUAGUUCCACGCGUUAACGAAGAAUGGUUAAGUGUAAGAGGUUUUCGGCCCUUAGUUGUGCAAGCAACGCAUUAAGCCAUUCCCCUGGGGGAUUCGGUUGCCAGGCUGGAAAUCCAAGGGAAUGGCGGGGGGCCGCCCCAACGGUGGAACCAGGGGUUUAAUUUGGAACCACGGGAAGGACCUUUCCCGGUUUUGGCAUUCUUUGGCCAUCCUAGAGAUUAGGCGUUCCCUUUGGGGGCCGAAGGGCCAGGGGGGCCAGGGUGUUGUCAAGUUGGGUUGGGAGAAGGUGGGGUAAGUUCCGCCACGAAGGCCACCCUUGAUUUUUAUUGCCAACCAUCAAUUGGGCCCUUUUAGGGGGCUUCCGGGGGCCAACCGGAAGGAGGGGGGGGAGGCGGCAAAUUCUCAAGCCCCUUAAGGCCUGGGGUACCCCCGGUGUUCAAAGGGCAAAACAAAAGGCCAGGAAACCCGGAGGGUAAACCCAUUCCCCCAAUUUGUUUUCAAUUUGGAUUGCCAUUUGCCAAUUGGCUGGGUGAAAGUGGGAUUGGUUGUUAUUGGGGAUCAACCAUCCGCGGUGGAAUCGUUUCCGGGCCUUGGUCCCCCCCCCCGUCCCCCCCCGGGAAGUUUAACCCCCGAAGUUGGGAGGUUACCUUUAGGAGCCAGCCGCCGAAGGACAAGG
RNAcentral lists this ribosomal RNA (1480 nucleotides) under Bacillus amyloliquefaciens. Its description in RNAcentral is "bacterial SSU rRNA". It matches the Rfam family "Bacterial small subunit ribosomal RNA". Lineage: Bacteria; Bacillati; Bacillota; Bacilli; Caryophanales; Bacillaceae. The record is from RNAcentral.